GAUGAACGCUGGCGGCGUGCCUAAUACAUGCAAGUCGAACGAAACUUCUUUAUCACCGAGUGCUUGCACUCACCGAUACAGAGUUGAGUGGCGAACGGGUGAGUAACACGUGGGCAACCUGCCCAAAAGAGGGGGAUAACACUUGGAAACAGGUGCUAAUACCGCAUAACCAUAGUUACCGCAUGGUAACUAUGUAAAAGGUGGCUAUACUACCGCUUUUGAUGGGCCCGCGGCGCAGUAGCUAGGUGGUAGGGUAAAGGCUUACCAAGGCAAUGAUGCGUAGCCGAAUUGAGAGGUUGAUCGGCCACAGUGGGACUGGGACACGGCCCAAACUCCUACGGGAGGCAGCAGUAGGGAAUCUUCCACAAUGGGCGAAAGCCUGAUGGAGCAACGCCGCGUGGGUGAAGAAGGUCUUCGGAUCGUAAAACCCUGUUGUUAGAGAAGAAAGUGCGUGAGAGUAACUGUUCACGUUUCGACGGUAUCUAACCGGAAAGCCACGGCUAACUACGUG
Molecule: ribosomal RNA, 511 nt
Filed under: uncultured bacterium
Lineage: Bacteria
Description: partial 16S ribosomal RNA
Rfam family: Bacterial small subunit ribosomal RNA
Source: RNAcentral